RNAcentral lists this ribosomal RNA (443 nucleotides) under uncultured prokaryote. RNAcentral's name for it is "bacterial SSU rRNA". It matches the Rfam family "Bacterial small subunit ribosomal RNA", at positions 355 to 796 of the family's 1533-position model. The record is from RNAcentral.
UAGGGAAUAUUGGUCAAUGGGCGAGAGCCUGAACCAGCCAUGCCGCGUGCAGGAUGACGGCCUUCUGGGUUGUAAACUGCUUUUAUAUGGGAAGAAAAAGGUCUUGCGAGACAAAUUGCCGGUACCAUAUGAAUAAGCACCGGCUAACUCCGUGCCAGCAGCCGCGGUAAUACGGAGGGUGCAAGCGUUGUCCGGAUUUAUUGGGUUUAAAGGGUGCGUAGGCGGUUGAUUAAGUCAGUGGUGAAAUCCUACAGCUUAACUGUAGAACUGCCAUUGAUACUGGUUGACUUGAGUACUGUUGAGGUAGGCGGAAUUUAUGGUGUAGCGGUGAAAUGCAUAGAUACCAUAAAGAACACCGAUAGCGUAGGCAGCUUACUAGACAGUGACUGACGCUGAGGCACGAAAGCGUGGGGAGCGAACGGGAUUAGAUACCCCGGUAGUCC